GUUAAGCGACUAAGCGUACACGGUGGAUGCCCUGGCAGUCAGAGGCGAUGAAGGACGUGCUAAUCUGCGAUAAGCGUCGGUAAGGUGAUAUGAACCGUUAUAACCGGCGAUUUCCGAAUGGGGAAACCCAGUGUGUUUCGACACACUAUCAUUAACUGAAUCCAUAGGUUAAUGAGGCGAACCGGGGGAACUGAAACAUCUAAGUACCCCGAGGAAAAGAAAUCAACCGAGAUUCCCCCAGUAGCGGCGAGCGAACGGGGAGCAGCCCAGAGCCUGAAUCAGUGUGUGUGUUAGUGGAAGCGUCUGGAAAGGCGCGCGAUACAGGGUGACAGCCCCGUACACAAAAAUGCACAUGCUGUGAGCUCGAUGAGUAGGGCGGGACACGUGGUAUCCUGUCUGAAUAUGGGGGGACCAUCCUCCAAGGCUAAAUACUCCUGACUGACCGAUAGUGAACCAGUACCGUGAGGGAAAGGCGAAAAGAACCCCGGCGAGGGGAGUGAAAAAGAACCUGAAACCGUGUACGUACAAGCAGUGGGAGCACGCUUAGGCGUGUGACUGCGUACCUUUUGUAUAAUGGGUCAGCGACUUAUAUUCUGUAGCAAGGUUAACCGAAUAGGGGAGCCGAAGGGAAACCGAGUCUUAACUGGGCGUUAAGUUGCAGGGUAUAGACCCGAAACCCGGUGAUCUAGCCAUGGGCAGGUUGAAGGUUGGGUAACACUAACUGGAGGACCGAACCGACUAAUGUUGAAAAAUUAGCGGAUGACUUGUGGCUGGGGGUGAAAGGCCAAUCAAACCGGGAGAUAGCUGGUUCUCCCCGAAAGCUAUUUAGGUAGCGCCUCGUGAAUUCAUCUCCGGGGGUAGAGCACUGUUUCGGCAAGGGGGUCAUCCCGACUUACCAACCCGAUGCAAACUGCGAAUACCGGAGAAUGUUAUCACGGGAGACACACGGCGGGUGCUAACGUCCGUCGUGAAGAGGGAAACAACCCAGACCGCCAGCUAAGGUCCCAAAGUCAUGGUUAAGUGGGAAACGAUGUGGGAAGGCCCAGACAGCCAGGAUGUUGGCUUAGAAGCAGCCAUCAUUUAAAGAAAGCGUAAUAGCUCACUGGUCGAGUCGGCCUGCGCGGAAGAUGUAACGGGGCUAAACCAUGCACCGAAGCUGCGGCAGCGACGCUUAUGCGUUGUUGGGUAGGGGAGCGUUCUGUAAGCCUGCGAAGGUGUGCUGUGAGGCAUGCUGGAGGUAUCAGAAGUGCGAAUGCUGACAUAAGUAACGAUAAAGCGGGUGAAAAGCCCGCUCGCCGGAAGACCAAGGGUUCCUGUCCAACGUUAAUCGGGGCAGGGUGAGUCGACCCCUAAGGCGAGGCCGAAAGGCGUAGUCGAUGGGAAACAGGUUAAUAUUCCUGUACUUGGUGUUACUGCGAAGGGGGGACGGAGAAGGCUAUGUUGGCCGGGCGACGGUUGUCCCGGUUUAAGCGUGUAGGCUGGUUUUCCAGGCAAAUCCGGAAAAUCAAGGCUGAGGCGUGAUGACGAGGCACUACGGUGCUGAAGCAACAAAUGCCCUGCUUCCAGGAAAAGCCUCUAAGCAUCAGGUAACAUCAAAUCGUACCCCAAACCGACACAGGUGGUCAGGUAGAGAAUACCAAGGCGCUUGAGAGAACUCGGGUGAAGGAACUAGGCAAAAUGGUGCCGUAACUUCGGGAGAAGGCACGCUGAUAUGUAGGUGAAGUCCCUUGCGGAUGGAGCUGAAAUCAGUCGAAGAUACCAGCUGGCUGCAACUGUUUAUUAAAAACACAGCACUGUGCAAACACGAAAGUGGACGUAUACGGUGUGACGCCUGCCCGGUGCCGGAAGGUUAAUUGAUGGGGUCAGCGCAAGCGAAGCUCUUGAUCGAAGCCCCGGUAAACGGCGGCCGUAACUAUAACGGUCCUAAGGUAGCGAAAUUCCUUGUCGGGUAAGUUCCGACCUGCACGAAUGGCGUAAUGAUGGCCAGGCUGUCUCCACCCGAGACUCAGUGAAAUUGAACUCGCUGUGAAGAUGCAGUGUACCCGCGGCAAGACGGAAAGACCCCGUGAACCUUUACUAUAGCUUGACACUGAACAUUGAGCCUUGAUGUGUAGGAUAGGUGGGAGGCUUUGAAGUGUGGACGCCAGUCUGCAUGGAGCCGACCUUGAAAUACCACCCUUUAAUGUUU
Molecule: ribosomal RNA, 2188 nt
Filed under: Escherichia coli
Lineage: Bacteria; Pseudomonadati; Pseudomonadota; Gammaproteobacteria; Enterobacterales; Enterobacteriaceae
Description: partial 23S ribosomal RNA
Rfam family: Bacterial large subunit ribosomal RNA
Source: RNAcentral